UACGUAGGUGGCAAGCGUUGUCCGGAAUUAUUGGGCGUAAAGCGCGCGCAGGCGGCCUUUUAAGUCUGAUGUGAAAGCCCACGGCUCAACCGUGGAAGGUCAUUGGAAACUGAAAGGCUUGAGUACAGAAGAGGAAAGCGGAAUUCCACGUGUAGCGGUGAAAUGCGUAGAGAUGUGGAGGAACACCGACGGCGUAGGCAGCGCCCUAGACGAGACCUGACGCUCAGGCACGAAAGCGCGGGGAGCGAACAGG
This 253-nucleotide ribosomal RNA is filed under the name uncultured bacterium. RNAcentral describes it as "partial 16S ribosomal RNA". It matches the Rfam family "Bacterial small subunit ribosomal RNA", at positions 524 to 776 of the family's 1533-position model. The record is from RNAcentral.